Molecule: ribosomal RNA, 433 nt
Filed under: uncultured bacterium
Lineage: Bacteria
Description: partial 16S ribosomal RNA
Rfam family: Bacterial small subunit ribosomal RNA
Source: RNAcentral
AGCGAACGCUGGCGGCAGGCUUAACACAUGCAAGUCGAGCGGGCCUUUCGGGGUCAGCGGCGGACGGGUGAGUAACGCGUGGGAACGUGCCCUCUGGUUCGGAAUAACUCAGGGAAACUUGAGCUAAUACCGGAUACGCCCUUUUGGGGAAAGGCUUGCUGCCGGAGGAUCGGCCCGCGUCUGAUUAGCUAGUUGGUGAGGUAACGGCUCACCAAGGCGACGAUCAGUAGCUGGUCUGAGAGGAUGAUCAGCCACACUGGGACUGAGACACGGCCCAGACUCCUACGGGAGGCAGCAGUGGGGAAUAUUGGACAAUGGGCGCAAGCCUGAUCCAGCCAUGCCGCGUGAGUGAUGAAGGCCCUAGGGUUGUAAAGCUCUUUUAUCCGGGACGAUAAUGACGGUACCGGAGGAAUAAGCCCCGGCUAACUUCGUG